Molecule: ribosomal RNA, 253 nt
Filed under: uncultured bacterium
Lineage: Bacteria
Description: partial 16S ribosomal RNA
Rfam family: Bacterial small subunit ribosomal RNA
Source: RNAcentral
UACGGGGGGGGUAAGCGUUGUUCGGAAUUACUGGGCGUAAAGGGCUCGUAGGCGGCCAACUAAGUCAUACGUGAAAUCCCUCAGCUUAACUGGGGAACUGCGUGUGAUACUGGAUGGCUUGGAUUUGGGAGAGGGACGCGGAAUUCCAGGUGUAGCGGUGAAAUGCGUAGAUAUCUGGAGGAACACCGGUGGCGAAGGCGGCAUCCUGGACCAAUAUUGACGCUGAGGAGCGAAAGCCAGGGGAGCAAACGGG